UAGCUGCAAUGUGAACCAACAAUUACAGCCUCAGACACCAUUUCAUGCCUGGAACGUUGUCCCCAAAGGAAGCACUAUGUACAGGUAUGUCCUAUCUGAAGAUGGGUAAACAGUGCAGUAUUUCUCUUGUCGUGUAACUAAAUUCCCCCAGCAGCCAGCAGAAUUCUAUGACAAAUGACAAGGGAAAUGAUGAAAAAAAAGAAAACCUUGCUGAGGUAAAUGCAGCCUGCAGGACUUCUAAAAGGUAUUUCAGCCGAUACCAAUUACAAUUUCCUCACACCAAGCGAAACAGGUCACAAACUGUCAUCACUAUUCUGCUUAGUUGCCAAAACCACAGUGCAGUGAACCAAUUGCCAUUAUAUGAUCAUUUUACAAACAGCUCCAAUCAAAAUGCUCUCACUGGACAGACUGGUUUGGUCAAAGGGAGCAAAGAAGGCAGUCACCAAACAAAUCUAACCUCACAAUAUUUCCAUUUAAAACCCUUUGAUAAUAAUCGUACUGCCGUGUCCGCCAUGCAUCUAAGCUGCUGCUGAUCAGAGAGAGCACCAAGGACACGCAUUGCUGCAAGAAAGAAAACAUUGUCUCAUGACAACCAUAGCAUUCAAAUGCUGUGCAGAUUGAUACGAAUAUAAAAUUGCAAUGUCACCUCUUCUGUCAAGCUUAGAUGGUAUCGCUUUCUUAGGUUCUGUAUUGUCCGUGGACCACCUUUAAAGCAAGGGAAACCAGAAUCCUGAUUCAGAAAAAGAAGGCAAACAAGUCCAUCAGUCAACAAAGCAUUGGUAUUGCUGACAUUAGAGCACCAGAAUCAUAAAGCCAGACCCCUCCAAAGAAAUUACAUAAUUUUGUUGGAUUGAAAUUAUGUGCUCCCUUUCUCCCUCUAUCAAAUAACUAAGAACAAGGAAAAUUAAUUGUCCUAUUUCAAACUUUAGUGACCAUAGAUCAGCUUUGGCACUUCUCAAGCAUCACUCCUCAGCCCAAAUUCCCAGUUACAUAUUGGGGAUGAGCAACCCAAACAGAUUUUAUUUGCUUUAACAAUACCAGUGCUAUUAAAGUUGAAACAGAUCAGAUUUGGCUGAUAAGUCAGACUGAAAUACUCUGUAUCAGAGAAAGAAAUCACAGCGGUAAAAUUUCAAAUCCACAAUUCAGAUGUUGCAACAAUAAUCCAUGGCCCGCUGGACAUUCUCAUGCCCAAGAUCAUUCUUUUCCACAAAGGGCCAUCAAGUCUCACCUACAUAUUUAUUCAUCUCAGUUUUUCCAUCUAACAUACAUAGUAAGCCCUAUAAUGUGCAAUCCAAGAUCAGUCUUGUCAAAAGCAGUCUCAUGAUGUUUGUAUCAGGAUCGUAUAUGGUCACACAACAAAGGCCAUGCAUAGUUUAUGAAAACCACAUACUGGGGGAAAAAUGAUGAAGAAAGAAAGGACCAGAACAACAGAAAACAUUGGAAGGUUAAUGAUAGUUCAGUUAUACCUGCAACAUCUCAACAAGGAGAAUAAUACGCUCUGCAUGCUUACGACAUGUCAAGAAGCCUUGAAUACAUAAAACCUGCAUUUGAAGGGAAAAUGAUAAGUCAAUCAAUCACAAGAGAUUGAAGAGCCAAAACGGUGUAAUUGGAUUGAAACAGUAGAAAGUGUUAUCACUACCUUAAAAUAGUCAAAGAACUCGCUUGGAAUUCCCUCAGCGUCAGAAUCCAUGACCUGGAAUAAGAUCCAUACGCAAAAUCCAAAACCAGUUGCAGAACAAUAACAAAAAAGUGGACACACACACACUGGCACAUAAAAUAGACUACCAUACCUCAAGAAGUUCCCGGGUUAGUUUGAAAGGUGCGCUUUCAAAAUUUACACCACCAGGAGAGUUAGAGAGCAUGAAGCCAAAAUCAAUGUGUAUUAUGUGGCCAUCUUCAUCCAUUAACAAGUUCCCAUUGUGCUGUCCUUCACCUGAGAAAAAAAUAAAAAAGAAAUGCAUUUUUCUCACAAAGAGAAUGAAUGAAACAAGUAAAACAUAAGGUGCAAAUCAUUCUGGUUAUAAAAGCUAAUAGUACAAGAAAAUACACCCUAUUUGACCAGUUGGUUUGGAGUGUUGAAUAUGUUUUACAUGAUAGUAACACCUAAAUGAAGGAUGCAGCUUACUCUAGAGAAAAAGUCAUCUUUACAGAUACACAAAUAUGCCAUCGAUUUUUCUCAAAAUCUAACACUCCAUCCAUCCCACAUUUGUCCAUUUCAAAAAGGAUAAAGAUUUUAAUAUAUUUUUAAAUUGGAAAUGGACAUCUUUACAUUCUCCUUGAAAAAACAUUUUUUGCUAGAAAAAAAUUCAUUAAGACAACAUUAAAAAAGUAAAAUUUUCUAUCGUUUCCUGAUAUGGACGAGUAUGACAGGUGAGUGGUGACUAGUAAAGACAUUUGCAUUUGGGACCUGCACAUUCUUAAUCGAUAGUGAGAUCAGGCACCAUACCUGUAAAAGGUAGCACACAAGAGAAUAUCCAGCCAUGCUUUCAACAAAGUUCCUCUGAAGAAAUAAGAUGUAGAUAAAUAAAUAAAACCUUGGGGAUAUAUCUUUAAUGAGAAAGAAAAAGGAAAAAAGAAAAUUAAAUAUGCAGCCCAAGUCACCAUUUGCUGUUAAACUAUAGAAGUAAGAAUCUGGGGAAGACAAAGGUUUGCAACACUGAUACAAGAUGCAGUCUCAAAUUACAGGAACCAUGAUAAAACCAGAAACUACAAUAUCAAAACUCGGGCUCCAAUAUCUAUGAACAAAAAUAAUAUGCCAAAUAAACGCAUUAGGCAGAGGUUUUAAUGCUAUGUACAGCUUAGGCGACUGAUGUUGUUAAAGUGAACAAAUGUUUCAAAUCACAAACAGAUUUCACCAUCCUUCCCAGAUAAAAAAAAUGCUUGAGAAGGAAGCAUUGCCGAUAGAAGCAUGAGCCUAUUAAACAGAAAGCUUUCACAUUAAUCCACAACCAUUUCUAGAGUGAGAACAACAUUUUUUUUAACUAAUAUGAAUUCCAGUUUAUGCUUGAUGGUGCAGUAUUUCGUGUUGCAAAAGAAAUGCCUACAGAAGUAGUGAGAAAUUGGAUGCUAAUUCUUCAAAAUCUAUAAUUACUGUAUUGUGUCCUCUAUACUUGUAGAAUCUCCUCUAUGGUAGCUUUCCACCUAAAAAUAAAAGAUGAAGAAAGCCACCAAUACAUGUAGAACCACAAAACUUCUAGAAAGAAUAAGAAUCCUGUCUAACCCACCAAAAUAAUGACUAUGCAUUUGCUAAUGCAUCAAUGGAUAUUCUUGGGGUGAAUAAGCCUGUUUAACCAUGGUGAUAAUGUCAGUGCACCACUAUUUUUUAAUGUUUAAUACCUGUGCAAGCUUAAAACUUGGGGAGUUCUCUCCAUACUUGGCACCAAAAAAGUCACGCAAACUCAUUACAUUUGGAUAUCUGCUCUUAAUAGAAUGGAUUGAUGCCUGCAAACCAAGGCAAUAUCACUGAGAUACCAAAGAACAGUCCUUAUAAAACAAAUCAAAUAGAACUAAUAUACAUAAUUACCGUAUCUGGAAUUGUUUCAAUGAGAGCUGUGUAAGAUGAAGUACAUAGAACUUCAUAGGGACGCAACCAAAGAGGUAGACCAGCUUCUUGAAAUAUAUCUGGCAUUAAAACCUAAAUAUUUUAAGCUUGAACCUACUGUAGAAAAAAAAAAGAAACAAAAUCCAACUUUUUGGAAUAAUUUGAACAUAAGAACUUGACACAAACAAAAAAGAUAACUCUGGCAUAGGAGCUUAUAACAUUAACUGGAAUGCACUUUAGGCUCAACUCAUCAUCUCAAAGUCAAUGUGACAGCUAAGUUUAAUUUGCACAAAAACAAAAGAAAAAAAGAAAAAUCAAGAAGAUUUAGAAGCAUCAAGUUAAGCAACAUGAAUUUGGAUGGAAUAUUUGAUCUGACACCAUUAAGAGCCCAUUUGAAAGUACGGUAGCUUCUGUUUUUUAUUGCUUUUCAAAAAUGCAUUUGCCUUGAAAAAAGCAUCAAAUUGAUGUUUGUUUUUGUGUUUUUCGAUAAUUUUGAUGUAUUGAUGUCAAAAAUAAAAAAACAAAUCUGGAAAGAAAACAGUUUGAUGCAUUUUUAAGCAAAAAGCACUUUUCAAAGGCCCCUUGCACCAUAAUAUCAAACACGCACUAAGAAAAUAACAAAAAAGGUCUGUCUUGGAUUCUUGAAAAUAUGUAAAGCAAGGGCAUUUAGAUGCUUCAAGUUAGGCAAAAUGAAUUUGGAUAGAAAAUUUGAUCUGACAUGAUUAAGAAGAUAGCAAAAGAGGGCCCACUUGGAUUCAUGAAAAUGUGUAAAUCAUCAGAUUUUAGCAGAGUAACCUCUUAGGUAUAAACUUAGGUAUAAACAAGGACUUCAGAAGUCCAGAAUUCCCAGAAAUUUUCUGUUAUUCUUUUUAGUUGCUAUUGAUUAACUGUUCAUUUAAAUUGGAGAUACGCAUGGUUAAUGCAGAUAGUUUUAGCUAUUUAGCAUAGGCACAAAUACAGACACAUCCUACUUAUAUAGUUCAGGAAAUUUAUUGCCAAUUUAUAUAGCAUCCCUAAGAAGAAACAUGCUGCUUUCAGACAACAACCUCUGAAUAGUUAGCCAUGAUGAAUGCAACACAAUCUGCAGGCACCUACCAUAAAAGUGAGAAAUGAGUUGCACAGCAAGAUGCUCCUGCCUACAAUCAUCACCACUCUUCACAAUAACCUGCAUGAGAAACAAAACAAGCAAAAUUUUUUAUUAGAACAGAAGGCAAUUAAACAAUAGCAACUCGCAGAAAUUUAUUAGUAUUACAUGUUCACUUGGUAGCCUAAAAAGGAAAGAUUAAAUCAAACACUGUAGACAAUUAAGUAUUCUAGAAGAUACAUAGAACCAUACAAGGAUACAUGUAAAUACCUACACAUUGUCAAGAGAACCAUACAAGGAUACAUGUAAAUACCUACACAUUGUCAAGCUUCUUNNNNNNNNNNNNNNNNNNNNNNNNNNNNNNNNNNNNNNNNNNNNNNNNNNNNNNNNNNNNNNNNNNNNNNNNNNNNNNNNNNNNNNNNNNNNNNNNNNNNGGGACCGGAUAUUAAGUUAUUUAACUGUUAAAGAUGAGAUGAUGCGCUUGAUUGAUACUAUCAAUAAAUUUCAAGUACUGCGAAUGUAAUAAAUCCAAAUCUAAAACUAUAAAAAACAAAUCCCUUCAUGAUAUACGAGAUCGGGCUCGAUUAUUUACAGGGUGAUUCAAAAUCAUGGUGUGAUGAAAUAGGGCCUCCUUGGCAUAUAUACAAGGACUAUUCUCAUGACAAAUCAGCUUUCGACCUUCACCCUCGACAGACACCACCACAUGUUUAUCAGAUAUACAAGCUUGCCUUGUCUUUAUAUUUUCAACUAUUGGUCAGUGAUUCAGCAAUACAUCCAUAUAGUAUUAGGGCAACUCGGCUUCAGUGUAGGUGGUAGCCGCUGUUCAUUUUAUUGACAAUACCAGAUUAUAAAAACUAAAAUUUAGCCAUGCAGAAAUCAUUCAAAACAGCUUGCUGAAAAAUAACAAGACUAUUGUUAACUUGACAUCAAAACUUCUAAUGAAAAGUAGUUCUUGGAUUUCAUCAUAUCAGAACUGAGGAAGUUCGAAACAAAUUUCAAGUACAGAUUGAUUUAAAAUCAAUUCACACUAUAAAAGUAUGAAUCACUGGAUUCAAUCUCUAUCAAAGCCCGUAAACAAUUUAUGAUUAUUUUUAAAAAUAAAAAAGUGUAGGAAUUACAUUUAUUUCCCCGACUACUAUGAUUGAGCGGGGAGUCUAGAUCCAUCAGCUCCAAAAAGUCCGCAUUGCUGCCUGGAAGCAUUGGAUCCAUGAAAUAUUGUGAGAUGGGGAUGCUAUCCCCGCCACCUUCCAGGGGGCAAGGUCUCCCAAGUUCUCAAAUAUACCAGUCUCUGGCUCUGCAAUCCCACCAAAGUCCGCAAUCUGAAUCCAAAUCAAAUUUCAAUUAAGUUAUUAGAUAAAAAUUUCAAUAAAAUUGCAAACAAAAAAACUGAAGUACUGUAGCAGAAAAGAAAAGACAAGGCAAGAGAUAAUAGAUUUUAGAAACUAUGCGGCCAUGAAACAGCAAAUAGCAAGUAACAUACCCAUGCCCAACCUGAGAAGCAAGUCAAAAGAAAAUUUUGGGGAAAAAAAAUCCUGCCAUGUAAUACAUUAUAACAAUCAAGAAAAUUAACAAAUGAUUAACAAUGCCUCCAUAACUACACAAAGCAAAACCUAGAAACAUUAGGUUUAAUUACAUAAUUAAUGAAGUCCCAAGAACUAAUUAGAUUACACGAUAAGAAAUAGAUACAUAAGACCUAUUCACACAAGUCAAUUUUCCAACUGCCACUGUUUUAAGCACACAGCCAAAAGCUUAGUAAAUAAUUAUAUACAUUGAGUUAAAAGGACAGAUAAACAGACCUUAGUAUUGUCAUUGUCCAAGAAAUCCAGCAUUGAAAGGAAAUCAUCGGUGUCAUCCACAAUUUGAGUACCCACUUGGGUAGCACCCACGCUAGGAAUGUAAGCAGAACACGUAUUUUCCAGUACAUAUGAGCUAGAGCUAGCAAGGAUGGAACUGUUGGGCUUACAUGGUUGUUGAAAAGCUGGCAUGUCAGAAUCAGCUUCACCACCAUUCACACCCCAUGCACAACCUGAAGAGCUUCUGUAGAAGCAACAUCAUCAUUAGAAACCCUAGGAAGGGUAGAGCAAGCUGUUGAUGGGGCUUGGGAAGGGCAUGAUAUAAGCGGUCCAGUGCACGUGCUCUCUGGCACGCAUGAGCUUGUGGCGAUGGGACAUGUUUGGAUUGUUUGGCAGCAUAAAUGCAGGUGCAUGCAUGAGAGCAGGUAAAAUAGCUGGCUGGGCAUUCACUUCCUUCUCCACCUCAUCAUCACCAUCAUCCCAUUCAUCCUCAUUAAAUGGUGCUCCAUACUGCGCACCAUUUUUUGGACCAGGUCCAUCCUUCUUGAAUAUCACACAGAGGACGAACUCAUCUUGAGCAAUUCCUUUGUCAGCCAACUCUUUUUCUUCAAGUCUAUAUUCAUACAUAACCCAGUCUGUUCGCUCCCCUUUAGGUGCCUUGCCAAUAUGAAAAACCAAAGUUUUUAUCAUCCCGACAACUUCAUUUUGUACUGAACAGAUCUGUCUUUGCCAGUGGUUUUCCAAUAACCAAUAUCAGUGGCACGCUUCUUUCUUACCCCACUUGCAUACUUCUUUUCUGUAGGGCAAAAGAAGUACCAUUUCAGAUCCCUAGUUCCCAAACAAGAUUUAUUGGGAAGAUCCCAUGGGGCAUAUUUGUUAAUCUCAAUCUCCGCAAUUGCUUGAAGAUGAAAUUUCUUCCCCAGCACUUUUCUUUUCAGAUAGUAUUUUACAGUUCCACAUCAGUUGGAUGGAACCUAAAGCCAGGAGGCAAUGAACUAUUUCUCCCCAUUGAGAAAAUCCAACAGAGCGUCAACGAAAGAAAAACCAAAUCACAAUACACCGUGUGAUCCUUCACAAGCAGCUAGAAAAGUGUUGUAUGAAGCAGUGUUGUUACCAGGCAGGUAGCCAAAUCUAAUACACUAGUACUUUUUGUCUUUUGCGCAAACAAUGAAUCUAAAUAUUGAAAGCAGCAGGAUGACACUCUUGUGUCAAAAGGAAAACAGAGAAGUGAAGGGUCAGGUCCAGUGCCUAAAUAUGAACUUCCACGAACACCACGGCCUCCCCUGGGUCAUAAACCCAAAACCACACCAAAGUAAUGAUGCUUGUGUCUCGUAGAGAUCAAAAGACAUUGGGUGUGCAGUAUAAUUCCUGAUUCAGACAUUCUAUUAGCCACACUGGUCCAAUAAAACUAGGUAAAAGUAAUAAAAAAUAAUAUCAAACCAAGAUAGAUUCUAAUCAAAUCAAGACAAACCAGAAAACAAAGGCAAGCAAAACAAUCAAGUCACAAGCCAAACACCACAAACUCAAGGGACCAAAAAAAUUGCAAUCAAGAAAAGAACGAACAGCAAGAAAAUCAGCUCAAACUCAAUACAUUGCGACAUCCAGUUUAGAAAAAAAUAACCUUAAUCACUUCACAAGGACAGUAUUUAAAUAUACAUAAUAAAACCGAUCAAAAUAAAACCCUAAAUCACACAAUCUCGUAAUUAACAAUCAAUAUCAGCUGAAAAAAACACAAUCUCAGCUUGAUCAAGAUAAAACCCAACACAAAUCAAAAACUUUAACAGCAAAAUCACCCACAUACACAACAAUUAAAAAAAGACAAACCCAUUUUGCAAAAACACAAUCUUCAACUCCUACGGAACCGCAACAACUCAAAUACAACAAAAACCCAUAAAAAAAUAGAACACUAAAUGGCCAAACCAAGACGAUGAUUUAAAAAACAAACCCUAAACGAAAACAAAACAAAAGAAAAAUACAAAGCUAACCGAUCACAUAAAAACACAACAUUUACCACCUUAACAAUCUCAAUUCCUAAAUAAAAAUAAAACCCGCAAAAAACAAACCAUAAAUCGCACACCCCAGGCAAAAAUCUAAACCAACCAGCUCAAAACCAUUAAACAUAAAAAAACCCACAAACCCUAGAGAGAAAUCCCAAAAAUAAAACCCAGAACAAGUGAAGUAAAUACAGAAAGAAGAUACCCUAGAAAUGAUACCCGGGGAGAGGGGGGGCUCUGAUCAAGAGCGAGGGAGAGAGAGAGACGCCAAUAUCUGGAGUGCCCAGUAAAUCAAUGUGCGUCAAAGUAAGUGGAAGCAGCCUAGGGAUUGGUCGGGUUAAUUUAUAUCGAAAGGGGGAGAGUAUAGAAAGAGUGUGUUUGGUUACUAAAAUAAAUUAGUUAUCGGCGUGAUUAAGAAUCCUUGUGUUUUGAUUGGUUGGAUUGCCUCAUUGAUUUUGACUCUUUUUUAUUUUUGUUUUAUUUCAUAUUGAACUGGAAAGAUGUAUUUUUAGGAAAUGUUGAGGUUGUUUCUACUGUUGGACCAUUUGUGUAUGGUGAUUGUGUCAUGAUAUGAUUCGUUGGGUCAAGUGUUAGAAUUUUCCUGUUCACACUAGUUUUUUUUUUUUUUUAAAAGAGAGAAUUCUUGCCAAUUAUGUUUUCUUUUUCAUUUUCAUUUUAAGGGUGAAGUGUUAUUAAAUUAGUUUUUGUAUAUCGAAACUAUCACAUUUCAAUCAUGCCUUAAUCCAUUCAUCUCCGUGUGUGUAUAAAGAGAAACAUUUACACCGUUGCAUUCAUAAAUUUCAAAAUAUUUGAAUGUUUUGGGAAGAAAUUUUUUCAAAUAUCAUUAAAAUGAUUUGUUUUUGUGUUUUAAAAAUAUUUUUAAAAUUUUUAAUUUUUUUUAAUUUUUUUCUUUGCUUCAAAUUAAUAAUUUUUUAGUGUUUUUAGAUAUUUUCAUAUAAUGAUAUUAAAAAUAAUUUUUAAAAAACAAAAAAAAUAUUAUUUUAAUAUAUUUAUAAGUCAAAAGCACUUAGAAAAAUAACCACAAUUAUAUUCCCAAACAUAUUGAGUUCUGUUUUGGUUUUUUUUUUAUUUUUAUGUUGGGUGUAUCAUGUUAUAACCUAAUAUUGAUACAUCAUUGAUAUAAAAUCUUAAAAAAUUAUAUUGUUCUAUAUAUGGAAGUCUCUUAAAUCACAAUGUAUAGUGAUAUUAAUGUCUUUUCAAUUGUUUUUGUUAGUGAAAAUAUCUUGUUUUCACAACUACACACAUGUUGCAGAUCAUUAAUUUUGAUUUUCCAAAUACUUAUCGAUUAGCAAAGAUUGUUCAGUAGAAAUUCUUGUGGUUUUCAUCUAAUUUCUUUUUAUUUUAUUUUAUUUUAUGUUCAUAUUUGCAUUCCUUCAAGUUAUACCAAGAAAGAGAAAAGUCUGGCUCUUGCUUGCUCAAGUAAUAAACAAUAUCAUCAUAAAAAAAAUUACUUUUUAAAAUGUUUUAUUUUUAAAAAUAUAUUUAAAUAAUAUAUAUUUUAUUUUUUAAAAUUUAUUUUUUAUAUUAAUAUAUUAAAACGAUCAAAACUUUAUAUAUAAAAAUAUAAAUUUUAGCCAAAUUCAUUUCAGGAUGGUAAAACUUAAGCCUAAAAUGAUGUAUGUUUAGAAAUAUGAUUACAAUUAAUGGGAAAUGAAUUAAAUAAUAUUUUAAUCUUUUUAAAAUAUUAUUUUUGACAUAAAAAAAUUUAAAAACAUAAAAAGAACUAUUAAUUUGAAAUAGAAAAAAUAAAAAUAAAAAUUAAUUAAAAAAAAAACAUUUUUAAAAUAGAUUAAUAUCACGUCCACGAAGAAAUAGAAAAUUAGCAACGACAAAAGGGGAUGAGGAAAGCUUUUACAGAAGAAGAAUAUUUAAGGCAGAGGAUCACCACCCCAGCUACUGCCACAAAACUUGACAGCCUUUCAAACUUCGAAGAGAAGAAAAGCCAAUCUGGUCAAGGAGAAACAUCACAGUCGAAAAUUGAAACACGUAAUAUCAAAAGGAUAAGCACUACAUAGAAUAUUCUCUUGAAUAAAAAAGAAAUGAUAUUCAGAAGAACAAAUAUAUUUAUGAAUGUUAAACAAACUUCUUUAAUAUCAAUUUCCCCCACAUCUUCCAUUCAUUGGAUUAACCCACCAAGUAAAAGCUUAUAUUGCAUGAACUGCCCUAUGCUUGAACCAACCAUUACGAAAGAUCAACUAGUCAAUAAGACUAUAUGUCCAUUCUAGAAGACUUGACUUAGAGUUGGAAGUGUCCAAGAUCAAAUCUCCUACCUUAAAAAACUAUUAGACAGAGAAGGGAAAGAAAAAAAAAACAUCAAAUAUUGCUCAAAAGACCUAGCAUUUGGAUGCAAGCAAGCAGACAAACAUCAAAAUUUUAAUCAAGAAAAACACAGCCUGGAAUCCAAAUUCAAAGCCACCAAAACUGUGAUAUACAACAGGAAUAUCAAAUGAACAAAUUUCUAACUGUUGAGAGCAAAUGGGAUCUAAUCUAAGAGGUUGUAUUCAUAUACCCUUUCUCAAGAAUGUUACUAGCAAGCCUUUGGUAGAAAGCAUGGAAGAAUCAUACUAUUGGAAGAAUAGGCAUCAAACGGAGAACAGCUACUGACUGGCAGGGUCGCCUAUCCAAUAUACAGUCUGUUCAAACUUUAAUCGGAAGAAAAAAUGGACUUCGAAAUAUGAAUAGAUACAAAAUCGGGAAUUGUCAGCUGCUUCUGAUCACUAACCAGUGUGGAAUAUGAAGUAGCUGCAAUGUGAACCAACAAUUACAGCCUCAGACACCAUUUCAUGCCUGGAACGUUGUCCCCAAGGAAGCACUAUGUACAGUAUGUCCUAUCUGAAGAUGGGUAAACAGUGCAGUAUUUCUCUUGUCGUGUAACUAAAUUCCCCCAGCAGCCAGCAGAAUUCUAUGACAAAUGACAGGGAAAUGAUGAAAAAAAGAAAACCUUGCUGAGGUAAAUGCAGCCUGCAGGACUUUAAAAGGUAUUUCAGCCGAUACAAUUACAAUUUCCUCACACCAAGCGAAAACAGGUCACAAACUGUCAUCACUAUUCUGCUUAGUUGCCAAAACCACAGUGCAGUGAACCAAUUGCCAUUAUAUGACAUCAUUUUACAAACAGCUCCAAUCAAAAUGCUUCACUGGACAGACUGGUUUGGUCAAAGGGAGCAAAGAAGGCAGUCACCAAACAAAUCUAACCUC
Molecule: long non-coding RNA, 11628 nt
Filed under: Populus tremula
Lineage: Eukaryota; Viridiplantae; Streptophyta; Magnoliopsida; Malpighiales; Salicaceae
Description: long non-coding RNA (PTRE_LNC002656)
Source: RNAcentral